Molecule: ribosomal RNA, 499 nt
Filed under: Betta cf. albimarginata 'Pampang'
Lineage: Eukaryota; Metazoa; Chordata; Actinopteri; Anabantiformes; Osphronemidae
Description: partial 12S ribosomal RNA
Rfam family: Bacterial small subunit ribosomal RNA
Source: RNAcentral
UAAACAUUGAUACCCUUUUACACCCACUAUCCGCCCGGGAACUACAAGCACUAGCUUAAAACCCAAAGGACUUGGCGGUGCUUAAGAUCCCCCUAGAGGAGCCUGUUCUAGAACCGAUAAUCCCCGUUCAACCUCACCCUCUCUUGCCUUUCCCGCCUAUAUACCGCCGUCGUCAGCUCACCCCAUGAGGGAACAAUAGUAAGCAAAAAUGGCACAGCCCAAAACGUCAGGUCGAGGUGUAGCAUAUGAGAGGGGAAGAAAUGGGCUACAUUCUCUAAAAAUAGAAGCAUACGGAUAAUAUAUUGAAACAUAUAUUUUAAGGAGGAUUUAGCAGUAAGAGGAAAUUAGAAUGUUCCACUGAAACCAGCUCUAAAGCGUGUACACACCGCCCGUCACUCUCCCCAAGUCUAAAUACUACCCCAUCAUAUAAUAAACCCAUUGACAUAGGGGAGGCAAGUCGUAACAUGGUAAGUGUACCGGAAGGUGUACUUGGACAAAU